Molecule: ribosomal RNA, 617 nt
Filed under: uncultured Thermoprotei archaeon
Lineage: Archaea; Thermoproteati; Thermoproteota; Thermoprotei
Description: bacterial SSU rRNA
Rfam family: Archaeal small subunit ribosomal RNA
Source: RNAcentral
AAACCACGAUAGGUCACGAUUUCUGGAAUGGAUCAUGGCCUAAAUCUACAUGGCCCCUGGAUUGGACUGCGGCCGAUCAGGCAGUUGGUGAGGUAAUGGCCCACCAAACCUAUAACCGGUACGGGCUCUGAGAGGAGAAGCCCGGAGAUGGGCACUGAGACAAGGGCCCAGGCCCUAUGGGGCGCAGCAGGCGCGAAACCUCUGCAAUAGGCGAAAGCCUGACAGGGUUACUCUGAGUGAUUUCCGCUAAGGGGAUCUUUUGGCACCUCUAAAAAUGGUGCAGAAUAAGGGGUGGGCAAGUCUGGUGUCAGCCGCCGCGGUAAUACCAGCACCCCGAGUGGUCGGGACGAUUAUUGGGCCUAAAGCAUCCGUAGCCGGUUCUGCAAGUCUUCCGUUAAAUCCAGCCGCUCAACGGAUGGGCCGCGGAGGAUACUAUAGGACUAGGAGGCGGGAGAGGCAAGCGGUACUCAGUGGGUAGGGGUAAAAUCCUUUGAUCCAUUGAAGACCACCGGUGGCGAAGGCGGCUUGCCAGAACGCGCUCGACGGUGAGGGAUGAAAGCUGGGGGAGCAAACCGGAUUAGAUACCCGGGUAGUCCCAGCUGUAAACGAUGCAGACU